This 71-nucleotide transfer RNA is filed under the name Camelus bactrianus (Bactrian camel). It matches the Rfam family "tRNA". Rfam says of the family: Transfer RNA (tRNA) molecules are approximately 80 nucleotides in length. Lineage: Eukaryota; Metazoa; Chordata; Mammalia; Artiodactyla; Camelidae. RNAcentral also lists the same sequence under 2 other names. The record is from Rfam by way of RNAcentral.
GAGGGUAUAGCUCAAUGUUAGAGCACCUGCUUAGCAUGCACAGGUGGUGGGUUCAAUUCCCAGUAGCUCCA